Benincasa hispida (wax gourd) is the source of this 107-nucleotide small nucleolar RNA. The record is from RefSeq and is a predicted model, not a curated record. Lineage: Eukaryota; Viridiplantae; Streptophyta; Magnoliopsida; Cucurbitales; Cucurbitaceae.
AAGCCAUGGUGCAGACAAUCUCGCACCAGUUGCUUAAACCUCGCCCAUGCAUCACUGAGCGAUUCGUCGAUAUCUUGUUCAAAAUUGGUAAUCGGCUUCCUCAUUUU